GAUGAAGAACGUAGUGAAAUGCGAUAAGUAAUGCGAAUUGCAGAAUCCGUGAGUCAUCGAAUCUUUGAACGCAUAUUGCGCCCUUUGGCAUUCCGAAGGGCAUGCCUGUUCGAGCGUCAUUAUCACCCCUCAAGCCCCGGCUUGGUGUUGGGCCCCCGGUGGUCGUACCCGACCACCCGCCUCAAAGAUAGUGACGGCGUCCCAGAGGGAACCGGUACGAGGAGCUUUCACGAGCAUGUACGCGGGACGACUCUGUGGGCGACGGUCUUUUUUAACCUUAAUAUAUCAAGUGUUGACCUCGGAUCAGGUAGGAAUACCCGCUGAACUUAAGCAUAUCAAUAGCGGAGGA
This 349-nucleotide unclassified non-coding RNA is filed under the name soil metagenome. Its description in RNAcentral is "partial contains 5.8S ribosomal RNA, internal transcribed spacer 2, and large subunit ribosomal RNA". The stretch from base 1 to 119 matches the Rfam family "5.8S ribosomal RNA", at positions 35 to 154 of the family's 154-position model. The record is from RNAcentral.